Molecule: non-coding RNA, 70 nt
Organism: Bos taurus (domestic cattle)
Lineage: Eukaryota; Metazoa; Chordata; Mammalia; Artiodactyla; Bovidae
Source: Rfam
UCCCCAGUGGCUCAGAGGUAAAGAACCUGUCUGCAAUGCAGGAGACCUGGGUUCGACCCUGAGUGGGGAA